This 439-nucleotide ribosomal RNA is filed under the name uncultured bacterium. Its description in RNAcentral is "bacterial SSU rRNA". It matches the Rfam family "Bacterial small subunit ribosomal RNA", at positions 28 to 507 of the family's 1533-position model. The record is from RNAcentral.
GAUGAACGCUGGCGGUAUGCCUAACACAUGCAAGUCGUACGAGGGUUUUUAACUCUAGUGGCGGACGGGUGAGUAACACGUGAGAAUUUGCCUUUAGGAGGGGGAUAACAAUCGGAAACGAAUGCUAAUACCCCAUAUGCUUUCGAGUGAAAUGGAUUAUCCGCCUAAAGAGAAGCUCGCGGCUGAUUAGCUUGUUGGUAAGGUAAGAGCUUACCAAGGCGACGAUCAGUAUCUGGUUUGAGAGGACGAUCAGACACACUGGAACUGAGACACGGUCCAGACUCCUACGGGAGGCAGCAGUGGGGAAUUUUCCGCAAUGGGCGAAAGCCUGACGGAGCAAUACCGCGUGAGGGAAGACUGCCUAUGGGUUGUAAACCUCUUUUUUCAGGGAGGAAUAAAAUGACGUGUACCUGAAGAAUAAGCAUCGGCUAACUCCGUG